GCAUCAGUGGUUUAGUGGUAAAAUCCAUCGUUGCCAUUCAAUGAAUAAAUUCGAUGGGCCCCGUGUUCGAUUCACGGCUGAUGCA
RNAcentral lists this transfer RNA (85 nucleotides) under Pyricularia oryzae. Its description in RNAcentral is "tRNA-Gly". It matches the Rfam family "tRNA". From Rfam's summary of the family: Transfer RNA (tRNA) molecules are approximately 80 nucleotides in length. The record is from RNAcentral. Lineage: Eukaryota; Fungi; Ascomycota; Sordariomycetes; Magnaporthales; Pyriculariaceae.